GACGAACGCUGGCGGCGUGCUUAACACAUGCAAGUCGAACGAAUAGCGACGGAAGCUUUCUUCUAUCAAUCUUAGUGGCGGACGGGUGAGUAACGCGUAAUCCACCUGCCCUUCAGAGGGGGACAACAGUUUGAAACGACUGCUAAUACCGCAUACGAUCUAAUCUCGGCAUCGUGGAUGUAUGAAAGGUGGCCUCUACAUUUAAGCUAGCACUUGAUGAGGGGUUUGCGUUUGAUUAUCUAGUUAGAGGGGUAUCGGCCGACCAAGGUGAAGAUCGUUAGCCGGCCCGAGAGGAAGAUCGGCCAGAUUGGGAGCUAGACAGGGCUCAAUGUACGAAAGGAGGCAGCCGUAGGGAAUCUUUCGGAAUGGACGAAAGGAUGACGGAGCAACGCCGGGUGAGUGAUGACGGGCGUCGGGUUGUAAAGCUCAGUUAUUCGGGGAGAAAGGCCUUCUUGCGAAUAGUGAGAAGGAUUGACGGUACCGGAAUAGAAAGCAACGGCUAACUACGUG
RNAcentral lists this ribosomal RNA (510 nucleotides) under uncultured bacterium. Its description in RNAcentral is "partial 16S ribosomal RNA". It matches the Rfam family "Bacterial small subunit ribosomal RNA", at positions 28 to 507 of the family's 1533-position model. The record is from RNAcentral.